RNAcentral lists this ribosomal RNA (596 nucleotides) under uncultured bacterium. RNAcentral describes it as "bacterial SSU rRNA". It matches the Rfam family "Bacterial small subunit ribosomal RNA", at positions 338 to 944 of the family's 1533-position model. The record is from RNAcentral.
CCUACGGGAGGCAGCAGUGGGGAAUAUUGCACAAUGGGCGAAAGCCUGAUGCAGCGAUGCCGCGUGCGGGAAGAAGGCCUUAGGGUUGUAAACCGCUUUCAGUAGGGAAGAAAAUGACGGUACCUACAGAAGAAGGUGCGGCCAACUACGUGCCAGCAGCCGCGGUGACACGUAGGCACCAAGCGUUGUCCGGAUUUAUUGGGCGUAAAGAGCUCGUAGGCGGUUUGGUAAGUCGGGUGUGAAAACUCUGGGCUCAACCCAGAGAGGCCACUCGAUACUGCUAUGACUUGAGUACGGUAGGGGAGUGGGGUAAUUUCUAGUGUAGCGGUGAAAUGCGCAGAUAUUAGAAGGAACACCAGUGGCGAAGGCGCCACUCUGGGCCGUAACUGACGCUGAGGAGCGAAAGCAUGGGUAGCAAACAGGAUUAGAUACCCUGGUAGUCCAUGCCGUAAACGUUGGGCACUAGGUGUGGGUCUCAACCAACGAGAUCCGCGCCGUCGCUAACGCAUUAAGUGCCCCGCCUGGGGAAGUCGGUCGCAAGACUAAAACUCAAANANAUGACGCGNGACGACGCGACGACGACGACGAGGAGGAGG